CCCUUAGAUGUUCUGGGCCGCACGCGUGCUACACUGAACGGUUCAAUGGGUAAGGUGGUGCGAAAGCAUGACCUAAUCUCGAAAUCCGUUCGUGCUGGGGAUAGAAGCUUGCAAUUAUCCUUCUUGAACGAGGAAUACCUUGUAAGCGUGAGUCAUCAUCUCACGCUGAAUACGUCCCUGCCCUUUGUACACACCGCCCGUCGCUCCUACCGAUUGAGUGUUCCGGUGAGGCUUUGGGAGAAUGGCCUCAACAUGAGUUUAUCGUGUUUUGCCGUUUGAACUUAGUCAAACCUUAUCACUUAGAGGAAGGAGAAGUCGUAACA
Molecule: ribosomal RNA, 323 nt
Filed under: uncultured eukaryote
Lineage: Eukaryota
Description: partial 18S ribosomal RNA
Rfam family: Eukaryotic small subunit ribosomal RNA
Source: RNAcentral